UUUCCGUAGGUGAACCUGCGGAAGGGUCAUUAUUGGAUUUUGAAACUUCAGGCUGCUGCUGGCUCUCCUCGGAGGGCAUGUGCACGCUUGUUGUCCAUUAUUUCUCCCACUGUGCACAAAUUGUAGACCUUUCAGUAGGCCUAUGUUGUUUUCCACAAUCUCUGAAUGUAAUAGAAUGGUUUUGAAUCUUGGGAAAUACAAUACAACUUUCAGCAACGGAUCUCUUGGCUCUC
Molecule: unclassified non-coding RNA, 233 nt
Filed under: plant metagenome
Description: partial contains small subunit ribosomal RNA, internal transcribed spacer 1, and 5.8S ribosomal RNA
Source: RNAcentral